GCAUAAUCACUUGCCCAUUAAUUGUGGGCUAGAAUGAAUGGAAAAACGAAGUAAUAGCUGUCUCUAGUAAUCAAAUAAAAACUAAUAUUCCAGUGAAGAAGCUGAAAUAAAAUCACAGGACAAGAAGACCCUAUAGAGCUUUAUUUUUAAUACAUAAUUAUAAUGUAGAAAAAUUCAGUUGGGGCGACUAAGGAGAAAAUCAUCCUAAAAUAUAUAGACUUACAAGUCGAAUCAAAGAUCCUAAAAAUAGAUCAAAGAAAUUAGCUACCUUAGGGAUAACAGGCUAAUCCUCCUGGAAAGUCCAAAUUUAUAGGAGGGU
RNAcentral lists this ribosomal RNA (319 nucleotides) under Nais communis/variabilis complex sp. A3. RNAcentral describes it as "partial 16S ribosomal RNA". It matches the Rfam family "Bacterial large subunit ribosomal RNA", at positions 1959 to 2517 of the family's 2925-position model. Lineage: Eukaryota; Metazoa; Annelida; Clitellata; Tubificida; Naididae. The record is from RNAcentral.